RNAcentral lists this ribosomal RNA (373 nucleotides) under uncultured bacterium. RNAcentral describes it as "bacterial SSU rRNA". It matches the Rfam family "Bacterial small subunit ribosomal RNA", at positions 38 to 391 of the family's 1533-position model. The record is from RNAcentral.
GGCGGCGUGCUUAACACAUGCAAGUCGAACGACCCUUUUUAUUUGAUUUCCUUCGGGACUGAUUAUUUUGUGACUGAGUGGCGGACGGGUGAGUAACGCGUGGGUAACCUGCCUUGUACAGGGGGAUAACAGUUGGAAACGGCUGCUAAUACCGCAUAAGCGCACAGCAUCGCAUGAUGCAGUGUGAAAAACUCCGGUGGUAUAAGAUGGACCCGCGUUGGAUUAGCUAGUUGGUGAGGUAACGGCCCACUAAGGCGACGAUCCAUAGCCGACCUGAGAGGGUGACCGGCCACAUUGGGACUGAGACACGGCCCAAACUCCUACGGGAGGCAGCAGUGGGGAAUAUUGCACAAUGGGCGAAAGCCUGAUGCAG